Molecule: ribosomal RNA, 893 nt
Filed under: uncultured bacterium
Lineage: Bacteria
Description: bacterial SSU rRNA
Rfam family: Bacterial small subunit ribosomal RNA
Source: RNAcentral
GUGCCAGCAGCCGCGGUAAUACGAAGGGACCUAGCGUAGUUCGGAAUUACUGGGCUUAAAGAGCUCGUAGGUGGUUAGAAAAGUUGGUGGUGAAAUCCCAAGGCUUAACCUUGGAACUGCCAGCAAAACUUUUUGACUAGAGUAUGAUAGAGGAAAGUGGAAUUUCUAGUGUAGAGGUGAAAUUCGUAGAUAUUAGAAAGAACACCAAUUGCGAAGGCAACUUUCUGGAUCAUUACUGACACUGAGGAGCGAAAGCAUGGGUAGCGAAGAGGAUUAGAUACCCUCGUAGUCCAUGCCGUAAACGAUGUGUGCUAGACGUUGGAAAUUUAGUUUUCAGUGUCGCAGCAAAAGCGUUAAGCACACCGCCUGGGGAGUACGACCGCAAGGUUAAAACUCAAAUGAAUUGACGGGGACCCGCACAAGUAGUGGAGCAUGUGGUUUAAUUCGAAGAUACGCGCAGAACCUUACCAACACUUGACAUGUUCGUCGCGACUCUAAGAGAUUAGAGUUUUCGGUUCGGCCGGACGAAACACAGGUGCUGCAUGGCUGUCGUCAGCUCGUGUCGUGAGAUGUUGGGUUAAGUCCCGCAACGAGCGCAACCCUUACUUUUAGUUGCUACCAUUUAGUUGGGCACUCUAAAAGAACUGCCGGUGAUAAGCUGGAGGAAGGUGGGGAUGACGUCAAGUCCUCAUGGCCCUUAUGUGUUGGGCUACACACGUGCUACAAUGGUACUCACAGUGAGAAGCGAAGAGGCGACUCUAAGCUAAUCCCUAAAAAGUACCUCAGUUCGGAUUGUACUCUGCAACUCGAGUACAUGAAGCUGGAAUUACUAGUAAUCGCGGAUCAGCGCGCCGCGGUGAAUGCGUUCCCGGGUCUUGCACACACCGCCCGUC